This is a small nuclear RNA of Trichechus manatus latirostris (Florida manatee), 103 nucleotides long. The record is from RefSeq and is a predicted model, not a curated record. NCBI's taxonomy places the organism in Eukaryota, Metazoa, Chordata, Mammalia, Sirenia, Trichechidae.
UUGCUUUGGCAGCAUAUAUACUCAAAUUGGAGUGAUACAGAGAAGACUAGCGUGGCGUUUGCACAAGGAAGACACACAAAUUUGUGAUGCGCUCCAUUUAUUU